AUGAACUUUUGCACGAUAUUCUAAUUUUUUGAGUAUCACCUGUAUAUAUUUUAAAGUAUCUAAUAUUAUGUAGGAUUUUGCAGUUACAGUGAUUUUCCUUCAUAAUCAAAUCAAGAGUAAAAAAAUGCUUGAUUGUUUACUAAUGCACUCUGCAAGUCUCCAUAAAAGACCCUAUAAAAAUAAAACUAAUGUCUGUUGACCUACUGAGUGC
Pelobates cultripes (western spadefoot toad) is the source of this 211-nucleotide non-coding RNA. NCBI's taxonomy places the organism in Eukaryota, Metazoa, Chordata, Amphibia, Anura, Pelobatidae. The record is from the annotation of a GenBank genome assembly.